UACGUAGGGUGCGAGCGUUAAUCGGAAUUACUGGGCGUAAAGCGUGCGCAGGCGGUUUUGUAAGCCAGAUGUGAAAUCCCCGGGCUUAACCUGGGAACUGCGUUUGUGACUGUGUGACUAGAGUACGGCAGAGGGGGGUGGAAUUCCUGGUGUAGCAGUGAAAUGCGUAGAUAUCAGGAGGAACAUCGAUGGCGAAGGCAGCCCCCUGGGCCUGUACUGACGCUCAUGCACGAAAGCGUGGGGAGCAAACAGG
Molecule: ribosomal RNA, 253 nt
Filed under: uncultured bacterium
Lineage: Bacteria
Description: partial 16S ribosomal RNA
Rfam family: Bacterial small subunit ribosomal RNA
Source: RNAcentral